This 119-nucleotide ribosomal RNA is filed under the name Triticum aestivum (bread wheat). The record is from RNAcentral. Lineage: Eukaryota; Viridiplantae; Streptophyta; Magnoliopsida; Poales; Poaceae.
GGAUGCGAUCAUACCAGCACUAAAGCAUCGGAUCCCAUCAGAACUCCGAAGUUAAGCGUGCUUGGGCGAGGGUAGUACUAGGAUGGGUGACCUCCUGGGAAGUCCUUGUGUUGCAUUCC